CAGGUGUUCUUCCCAAUAUCUACGCAUUUCACCGCUACACUGGGAAUUCCGGUUGCCCCUUCUGUACUCUAGCUCAGCAGUUUCGAAAGCAGUUCCGGGGUUGAGCCCCGGGCUUUCACUCCCGACUUGCUGUGCCGCCUACGCGCCCUUUACGCCCAGUAAUUCCGAACAACGCUUGCCCCCUACGUAUUACCGCGGCUGCUGGCACGUAGUUAGCCGGGGCUUACGUCAGGUACCGUCAUCCCCGCAGAGUAUUCUUCUGCGGGAUUUCUUUCCCGACUUUCGAAGUUUACAUCCCGGAGGGAUUUCGUCCUUCACGCGGCGUUGCUGGGUCAGGCUUUCGCCCAUUGCCCAAAAUUCCCCACUGCUGCCUCCCGUAGGAGUCUGGCCCGUGUCUCAGUGCCAGUGUGGCCGACCGCCCUCUCAGGCCGGCUACCGAUCGCAGCCUUGGUGAGCCGUUACCUCACCAACUAGCUAAUCGGGCGCGGGCUCCUCUUCAGGCGAGAGGUCCCUUUCGGGAUCCCCCCCUUUAACAACUGUCACCAUGCGGUGCCGCUGCGUUAUGCGGUAUUAGCGUCCCUUUCGGGACGUUAUUCCCCACCCAAAGGCAGAUUACCCACGUGUUACUCACCCGUGCGCCACUCUCCGGGGGCCGAAGCCCCCUUCCCGUUCGACUUGCAUGUGUUAGGCACGCCACCAGCGUUGAUUCUGAGCCAGGAUCAAACUC
RNAcentral lists this ribosomal RNA (727 nucleotides) under uncultured bacterium. Its description in RNAcentral is "partial 16S ribosomal RNA". The record is from RNAcentral.